This 450-nucleotide ribosomal RNA is filed under the name uncultured bacterium. RNAcentral describes it as "bacterial SSU rRNA". It matches the Rfam family "Bacterial small subunit ribosomal RNA", at positions 29 to 524 of the family's 1533-position model. The record is from RNAcentral.
AACGAACGCUGGCGGCAUGCCUAACACAUGCAAGUCGAACGAAGUCUUCGGACUUAGUGGCGCACGGGUGCGUAACGCGUGGGAAUCUGCCCUUGGGUGCGGAAUAACUUCUCGAAAGGGAUGCUAAUACCGCAUAAUGUCGUAAGACCAAAGAUUUAUCGCCCAAGGAUGAGCCCGCGUAAGAUUAGCUAGUUGGUGGGGUAAAAGCCUACCAAGGCGACGAUCUUUAGCUGGUCUGAGAGGAUGAUCAGCCACACUGGGACUGAGACACGGCCCAGACUCCUACGGGAGGCAGCAGUGGGGAAUAUUGGGCAAUGGGCGAAAGCCUGAUCCAGCAAUGCCGCGUGAGUGAUGAAGGCCCUAGGGUUGUAAAGCUCUUUUACCAGGGAUGAUAAUGACAGUACCUGGAGAAUAAGCUCCGGCUAACUCCGUGCCAGCAGCCGCGGUAAU